UAGGGAAUCUUCCACAAUGGACGAAAGUCUGAUGGAGCAACGCCGCGUGAGUGAAGAAGGAUUUCGGUUCGUAAAACUCUGUUGCAAGGGAAGAACAAGUAGCGUAGUAACUGGCGCUACCUUGACGGUACCUUGUUUGAAAGCCACGGCUAACUACGUGCCAGCAGCCGCGGUAAUACGUAGGUGGCAAGCGUUGUCCGGAAUUAUUGGGCGUAAAGCGCGCGCAGGUGGUUCCUUAAGUCUGAUGUGAAAGCCCCCGGCUCAACCGGGGAGGGUCAUUGGAAACUGGGGAACUUGAGUGCAGAAGAGGAUAGUGGAAUUCCAAGUGUAGCGGUGAAAUGCGUAGAGAUUUGGAGGAACACCAGUGGCGAAGGCGACUGUCUGGUCUGUAACUGACACUGAGGCGCGAAAGCGUGGGGAGCAAACAGG
RNAcentral lists this ribosomal RNA (429 nucleotides) under Actinomycetes bacterium. RNAcentral describes it as "Actinobacteria bacterium partial 16S ribosomal RNA". It matches the Rfam family "Bacterial small subunit ribosomal RNA", at positions 355 to 776 of the family's 1533-position model. The record is from RNAcentral. Lineage: Bacteria; Bacillati; Actinomycetota; Actinomycetes.